AGAGUUUGAUCCUGGCUCAGAAUCAACGCUGGCGGCGUGUCUAACACAUGCAAGUCGCACGAGAAAGGGGAGCAAUCCCUGAGUACAGUGGCGCACGGGUGAGUAACACGUGACUAACCUACCCUCGAGUGGGGAAUAACCUAGGGAAACCUGGGCUAAUACCGCAUAACACUUACGAGUCAAAGCAGCAAUGCGCUUGGGGAGGGGUCGCGGCCGAUUAGCUAGUUGGCGGGGUAAUGGCCCACCAAGGCAAUGAUCGGUAUCCGGCCUGAGAGGGCGCACGGACACACUGGAACUGAAACACGGUCCAGACUCCUACGGGAGGCGAC
This 329-nucleotide ribosomal RNA is filed under the name uncultured prokaryote. RNAcentral describes it as "bacterial SSU rRNA". It matches the Rfam family "Bacterial small subunit ribosomal RNA", at positions 8 to 352 of the family's 1533-position model. The record is from RNAcentral.